RNAcentral lists this transfer RNA (74 nucleotides) under Chitinophagaceae bacterium. Its description in RNAcentral is "tRNA-Thr". It matches the Rfam family "tRNA". From Rfam's summary of the family: Transfer RNA (tRNA) molecules are approximately 80 nucleotides in length. The record is from RNAcentral. Lineage: Bacteria; Pseudomonadati; Bacteroidota; Chitinophagia; Chitinophagales; Chitinophagaceae.
GCCAUCUUAGCUCAGCCGGUCAGAGCGGCUGUUUCGUAAACAGCAGGUCGAGGGUUCGAUUCCCUUAGAUGGCU